UGCCAGCCGCCGCGGUAAUACGGGGGGGGCAAGCGUUGUUCGGAAUUAUUGGGCGUAAAGGGCGCGUAGGCGGCCAAACAAGUCUGUUGUGAAAGCCCUCGGCUCAACCGAGGAAUUGCAAUGGAAACUGUCUGGCUUGAAUCCCGGAGAGGGUGGCGGAAUUCCCAGUGUAGCGGUGAAAUGCGUAGAUAUUGGGAGGAACACCUGUGGCGAAGGCGGCCACCUGGACGGGUAUUGACGCUGAGGUGCGAAAGCGUGGGGAGCAAACAGGAUUAGAUA
This 279-nucleotide ribosomal RNA is filed under the name uncultured bacterium. Its description in RNAcentral is "partial 16S ribosomal RNA". It matches the Rfam family "Bacterial small subunit ribosomal RNA", at positions 506 to 784 of the family's 1533-position model. The record is from RNAcentral.